UAGAGAAUGAGACUGAGAACGAGACGGAGAACGGGACGGAGAACUAGAGAAUGAGACUGAGAAACGGAGACGGAGAGACGGGACGGAGAAGUAGAGAAUGAGACUGAGAACGAGACGGAGAACGGGACGGAUGAAUAGAGAAUGAGACUGAGAACGAGACGGAGAACGAGACGGAGAAGUAGAGAAUGAGACUGAGAACGAGACGGAGAAGUAGAGAAUGAGACGGAGAACGGGAGAACGAGACGGAGACAGGAUGGUCAGACGGACAGACGAUCAGAACAUCCUGAAUGUUCUGCCGUUAGAGCAGUGUCCUUGUUAGAAAGUCCUCCCUCCGUCUCUCUCGAUCCUGCACCGUCUCUCUGUCUCGUGCUUUCUUUUCAUCUCCCUCCUUUUGUUCCUGUUGUGUCCUUUCAGGCGGCGUACAUUGUUUGAACAAAUUCGAGCGUGUUCUGUGAAAGCCCUGAGUUGGCCGCGAGCCCGUGUUCCACGAUGAUCAAUCCCAAGUGAGCGUCAACGCUGCUAUAUUUAGGCCGAGAGAAUGUGUGCGUGUGCGUGUGUGUGUGUGUGUGUGUGUGUGUGUGUUCCUGCGUGCGUGUGCAUCUCUCAUAGGUGUUUAUUGGUUCCAUGCAAACCUUCAUUUCGAAGUAAUUGAAGUGGAUAGGAGGGUUUAACACGUGUUGAGUUGGCUUUGUGUUUUGUGGAGGAAAUGCCAUUAUUACACACAUCACACACACACACACACACACACACACACACACGCGCACUUCUGGAUAAUGUACAUCUAGUUAUACUUCAUCGGGUCCUCACGUGCCUGUGUGAUACAUCACAUAUGAACGACUCCAAGUGUGGGUGUAAUAGUUGCUUUAUAAACCGAUCAGUUCCGUGUUCAUUCGAAUCACGUGCGAUAACGUCAGGUGUGUACACGUGUGUAACUCAGCAUCUACGCUUUAGCCAGCCCCUCAAGGGUUUCGCCAUUUCCGCGAUCGCAGACGAUAACGCAAAAUCAAGGAAUCGAGGAAAGACGCCGUGUCGGGAGGAGCGCGUGGUUUUCGUACGUCACGUGACGUCAUCGCGACACGAAGGCCUCUCAGAUUCACGCGCGCCGAACACGAGUACAGCUAAAAGGUCGCGUUUACCGACAAAAACCGCACAAAGCUAUCUUUUUGGCCGCGGCGAUCACAAAAAAAUGAAGCUCUGUGACGUCCUGCACGGACGGGUUUAGCUGUAGCGUUGGCCUGUUGCUAUGGUGAUAAGGGGAAAACUAUUUAUUUAUUUAUUUAUUUAUUAUUUUUUUUUUUUUGUUCAGGUAAAUCAGCAAUCAGACUAAAGAUGAAUAAAAUUCACAUAGCAGGAACAUAAAAACCUUCUAAUUGUGGUUCCUUUCAGUUCCUCUUAACUUUAUGUCGAAUUGACAAGUCUUGCGAGCCAAUAGGAAACAAGUGGGCGGGGCUGUGGUCUCUUGCUAAAAGAAUAGUGGCGCUGCUUAUUAUUAAAGUACUUUUGCCUCGCUGUUUUCUUACAUUUGUGGGGAAAAAUUUUCUUGUUCGCGAAUGUUAGAACCAGUGUGUGUGUGUGUGUGUGUGUGUGCGCUGUGGCUUCUAUCAAAACCUCCCCUUCGUUCCUUCUGUGUGUUACACGAGAACGGAGUUUUAGCAUCCUGGAGGACCUCUUUUACGGAAGAGGCUGCGUUUGGAUUUGCGAGUAGGAUCUGCGGCUGAGCGCGAGAGAGAGGUCGCGAGGAGACAUGAUGUGAUUGAUAAGAUAUUCACCGGGUUUUUGCGGAUAAUAAUGUUGUUGUUUGUUGUUCGGGCCGAGCUCGGUGAUUUCUCACAGAGGAAAUGAACACACUCGUACUCUCAUCUUGGCAGCUUGCCAAAAAAGGAGAAAGCAAGACACUUGCACGCACUUUCCUGAUCAGCUGCCAGAGUUCAGAGCAGAUUGUGUGUGUGUGU
Long non-coding RNA from Ictalurus punctatus (channel catfish), 1952 nucleotides. Lineage: Eukaryota; Metazoa; Chordata; Actinopteri; Siluriformes; Ictaluridae. The record is from Ensembl.